CCGCGACCGUCUCGCGUACGGGAAGGCGGCGGAGGCCUCCGGAGGGCAGCGCCCCGGGGCUCGGGAGCGGGAGGAGCGAGGGACGAUCCAGUGCUCGGCCGGGUUUGCCAUCUUGGCUGCCCGGCGUCAGUUUGGAGUUUGUGCUGCGCCCGCGAUCCGGAGUUGCUGGGGGGUGUGAGGGUCUCUACUUGACAGCCGGAGAAGAAAAACCGCCCGGAGGCAGGCAGCGAUCCAGCCCAGGUCCCUACCGCGCGGGACUAAAGGGAUGCGACCUGGAGGACGAGAGGACGCGCCAUGGCGAUCGGCCGGGAGCGUGGACCCAGGGGCGCGCCGAGGGUGCCCGGGCUGGCCUGGACCCGAGCGGCCAGCGAGAGGUGUCAGUCCAUGGUUUACUGGCUCCACUGCCUGUGACCCUGGUUGGGGCUGCUCCUUGCCUGUGGCAAGGUGGAAACCUCAAGGUGGGAGGAGACUUCUGGGCUGCUGUACCACCCUCGCCAGCGCACGGAGGUGAGCUGCUCCCAGCACACAAGAGAAGGCUUCUGGGCCGCCAUACCACCCCCCGCCAGCACACAGGAGGUGAGCCACGUGGCGCCAGCAGCAC
Heterocephalus glaber (naked mole-rat) is the source of this 601-nucleotide long non-coding RNA. NCBI's taxonomy places the organism in Eukaryota, Metazoa, Chordata, Mammalia, Rodentia, Bathyergidae. The record is from Ensembl.